UACAGAGGGUGCAAGCGUUAAUCGGAUUUACUGGGCGUAAAGGGCGCGUAGGCGGUGAGAUGUGUGUGAUGUGAAAGCCCCGAGCUUAACUUGGGAAGAGCAUCGCAAACUAUCUGACUGGAGUAUAUGAGAGGGUGGCGGAAUUUCCGGUGUAGCGGUGAAAUGCGUAGAGAUCGGAAGGAACGUCAAUGGCGAAGGCAGCCACCUGGCAUAAUACUGACGCUGAGGCGCGAAAGCGUGGGGAGCGAAC
RNAcentral lists this ribosomal RNA (250 nucleotides) under uncultured bacterium. RNAcentral describes it as "partial 16S ribosomal RNA". It matches the Rfam family "Bacterial small subunit ribosomal RNA", at positions 524 to 773 of the family's 1533-position model. The record is from RNAcentral.